RNAcentral lists this ribosomal RNA (274 nucleotides) under uncultured bacterium. Its description in RNAcentral is "partial 16S ribosomal RNA". It matches the Rfam family "Bacterial small subunit ribosomal RNA", at positions 523 to 796 of the family's 1533-position model. The record is from RNAcentral.
AUACGGAGGGUGCAAGCGUUAAUCGGAAUUACUGGGCGUAAAGCGCGCGUAGGCGGCUAUUUAAGUCAGAUGUGAAAUCCCUGGGCUCAACCUAGGAACUGCAUCUGAAACUGGAUAGCUAGAGUUUUGGAGAGGUAAGUGGAAUUUCCGGUGUAGCGGUGAAAUGCAUAGAGAUCGGAAGGAACACCAGUGGCGAAGGCGACUUACUGGCCAAAAACUGACGCUGAGGUGCGAAAGCGUGGGUAGCGAACAGGAUUAGAUACCCGAGUAGUCC